GGCGUACGGGUGCGGAACACGUGUGCACUUGCCUUUAUCUGGGGGAUAGCCUUUCGAAAGGAACGAUUAAUACCCCAUAAUAUGUUGAAUGGCACCAUUCGACAUUGAAAACUCCGGUGGAUAGAGAUGGGCACGCGCAAGAUUAGAUAGUUGGUGAGGUAACGCCUCACCAAGUCUACGAUCUUUAAGGGGCCUGAGAGGGUGAUACCCCCAACUGGUACUCGAGACACGGACCAGAAUCCUACGGGAGGCAGCAGUGAGGAAUAUUGGACAAUGGGUGAGAGCCUGAUCCAGNCAAUACCGAGUNAAGGACGUGAUUGGCCUAUGGGUAGUAAAAUUCUAAAUACGUAUAAGGGGAUAAACCUAAACCUCGUGAGAGGUAGCUGAAGGUAACUAUACGAAUAAAGNGAACAUGGGUAAAUCCGUUGAGCAAGNAAGACAGAGGUAAAUACGGAGGGUUUGCAAAUGCAGGUAUAUUCACAGGGAAUUUUACAUUGGGGGUUUAAAAAGGGGUCACAUGUAAGAGCAGGGAAUACAUAGAUGAAGGUACAAAGANGGGGUAGAAAAAUUCUUCAAAAAAGGAUUAAACAUUAGUGAAAA
RNAcentral lists this ribosomal RNA (600 nucleotides) under uncultured bacterium. Its description in RNAcentral is "bacterial SSU rRNA". The stretch from base 1 to 297 matches the Rfam family "Bacterial small subunit ribosomal RNA", at positions 97 to 394 of the family's 1533-position model. The record is from RNAcentral.